UACGAAGGAUGUGAGCGUUAUCCGGAUUUAUUGGGUUUAAAGGGAGCGUAGGCGGUCUUAUAAGUCAGUGGUGAAAUCUCGUUGCUUAACAACGACCGUGCCAUUGAUACUGUAGGACUUGAGUACAGUUGCCGUUGGCGGAAUGUGUCAUGUAGCGGUGAAAUGCAUAGAUAUGACACAGAACACCGAUUGCGAAGGCAGCUGACGAAACUGUAACUGACGCUGAGGCUCGAAAGCGUGGGGAUCAAACAGG
Molecule: ribosomal RNA, 253 nt
Filed under: uncultured prokaryote
Description: partial 16S ribosomal RNA
Rfam family: Bacterial small subunit ribosomal RNA
Source: RNAcentral